RNAcentral lists this ribosomal RNA (460 nucleotides) under uncultured bacterium. RNAcentral's name for it is "partial 16S ribosomal RNA". It matches the Rfam family "Bacterial small subunit ribosomal RNA", at positions 338 to 795 of the family's 1533-position model. The record is from RNAcentral.
CCUACGGGAGGCAGCAGUGAGGAAUAUUGGUCAAUGGGCGGGAGCCUGAACCAACCAAGUCGCGUGAGGGAAGAAGGUCCUAUGGAUUGUAAACCUCUUUAGGCGGGGAGCAAUGCCGGGCAAGUGUGCCCGGAGGGAGAGUACCCGCAGAAUAAGCAGCGGCUAACUCCGUGCCAGCCGACGCGGUAAUACGGAGGAUGCGAGCGUUAUCCGGAUUUAUUGGGUGUAAAGGGUGCGUAGGCGGAUUUUUAAGUCAGCGGUAAAAUGUCCGGGCUCAACACGGGCCGGCAGUUGAAACUGGGGAUCUUGAGUGUGCGAGAAGUAUGCGGAAUGCGUGGUGUAGCGGUGAAAUGCAUAGAUAUCACGCAGAACUCCGAUUGCGAAGGCAGCAUACCGGCGCCCGACUGACGCUGAGGCACGAAAGCGUGGGGAUCGAACAGGAUUAGAUACCCCGGUAGUC